AAACCUGAGAGUUUGAUCCUGGCUCAGAACGAACGCUGGCGGCAGGCCUAACACAUGCAAGUCGAACGCAUCGCAAGAUGAGUGGCGCACGGGUGAGUAACACGUGGGAAUGUAUCCUUUGGUUCGGAAUAACGUUUGGAAACGAACGCUAAUACCGGAUGAGCCCUACGGGGGAAAGAUUUAUCGCCAAAGGAGCAGCCC
RNAcentral lists this ribosomal RNA (201 nucleotides) under Niveispirillum sp. BGYR6. Its description in RNAcentral is "partial 16S ribosomal RNA". It matches the Rfam family "Bacterial small subunit ribosomal RNA", at positions 1 to 232 of the family's 1533-position model. Lineage: Bacteria; Pseudomonadati; Pseudomonadota; Alphaproteobacteria; Rhodospirillales; Azospirillaceae. The record is from RNAcentral.